UACGGAGGAGGCAAGCGUUAUCCGGAAUUAUUGGGCGUAAAGCGUCCGUAGGUGGCUAGUCAAGUCUGCGGUCAAAGACUGGGGCUUAACCCUGGAAAGGCCGUGGAAACUGACGAGCUAGAGUGCAGUAGGGGUAGAGGGAAUUCCCGGUGUAGCGGUGAAAUGCGUAGAGCUCGGGAAGAACAUCGGUGGCGAAAGCGCUCUACUGGACUGCAACUGACACUCAGGGACGAAAGCCAGGGGAGCGAACGGG
RNAcentral lists this ribosomal RNA (253 nucleotides) under uncultured bacterium. RNAcentral's name for it is "partial 16S ribosomal RNA". It matches the Rfam family "Bacterial small subunit ribosomal RNA", at positions 524 to 776 of the family's 1533-position model. The record is from RNAcentral.